Danio aesculapii is the source of this 326-nucleotide long non-coding RNA. RefSeq lists it as uncharacterized. NCBI's taxonomy places the organism in Eukaryota, Metazoa, Chordata, Actinopteri, Cypriniformes, Danionidae. The record is from RefSeq and is a predicted model, not a curated record. The transcript is spliced from 3 exons.
GCUUUCACCGUGUAAUCUUGCUCUGUGUCUACCUGACCUGUUUAUAUCCAGCAGAGAGCUGUCAGCUGAAACACUCUCACCAGUUUAUAAGCACCAUUUCCUGUCAGAGAACGAUUGUGAAAAUAUGGAAAAAGUUGUUUGGAAGGCAGAGAAACAACACCAAGAUGUGGCUCGAUUUCUAUUUGCUGAACCACAAGUAAGGAAGCCAUUGGUCCAAAUUCAGCCCCUUCCAGAGCUUCUCACACUGCUGAAUGUGGAAAUGGAAGCUGUUGCAGAACCCAAAGACAGUAUAAUAAAAUUUCACCUCACCAACAGUACACCGAUUA